CCUACGGGUGGCAGCAGUGGGGAUAUUGCACAAUGGGGGAAACCCUGAUGCAGCGACGCCGCGUGUGGGAAGACGGUCCUCUGGAUUGUAAACCAAUGGCCCCAGGGACGAAGAUGAAGGGACCUGGGGGGGGAGCCCCGGCUAACCACGUGCCAGCAGCCGCGGGAAUAAGAAGGGAGCAAGGGUUUUCCGGAAUUACUGGGUGUAAAGGGAGCGUAGGCGGGAUGGCAAGUUGGGUGUUAAAUCUACCGGCUCAACUGGUAGUCGCACUCAAAACUGCUAUUCUUGAGUGAAGUAGAGGCAGGCGGAAUUCCUAGUGUAGCGGUGAAAUGCGUAGAUAUUAGGAGGAACACCAGUGGCGAAGGCGGCCUGCUGGGCUUUUACUGACGCUGAGGCUCGAAAGUGUGGGGAGCAAACAGGAUUAGAUACCCUAGUAGUC
This 439-nucleotide ribosomal RNA is filed under the name uncultured bacterium. RNAcentral describes it as "partial 16S ribosomal RNA". It matches the Rfam family "Bacterial small subunit ribosomal RNA", at positions 338 to 795 of the family's 1533-position model. The record is from RNAcentral.